GGUGAACGCUGGCGGCGUGCUUAACACAUGCAAGUCGAACGAAGCACUAUGAAACAAUCCUUCGGGUGCGUUUCAUAGUGACUUAGUGGCGGACGGGUGAGUAACGCGUGGGUAACCUGCCGUAUGCAGGGGGACAACAGUUGGAAACGGCUGCUAAUACCGCAUAAGCGCACAGCUUCGCAUGAAGCAGUGUGAAGAGAUUUAUCGGCAUACGAUGGACCCGCGUCUGAUUAGCUUGUUGGUGGGGUAACGGCCUACCAAGGCGACGAUCAGUAGCCGACUUGAGAGAGUGAUCGGCCACAUUGGGACUGAGACACGGCCCAA
Molecule: ribosomal RNA, 324 nt
Filed under: uncultured bacterium
Lineage: Bacteria
Description: bacterial SSU rRNA
Rfam family: Bacterial small subunit ribosomal RNA
Source: RNAcentral